This 301-nucleotide ribosomal RNA is filed under the name uncultured bacterium. Its description in RNAcentral is "partial 16S ribosomal RNA". It matches the Rfam family "Bacterial small subunit ribosomal RNA", at positions 509 to 807 of the family's 1533-position model. The record is from RNAcentral.
CAGUCGCCGCGGGAAAACGAAGGGGGCUAGCGUUGCUCGGAAUGACUGGGCGUAAAGGGCGCGUAGGCGGAAUGCUUUGUCGGGCGUGAAAUCCCCGGGCUCAACCUGGGAACUGCAUUUGUGACUGCAAGGCUAGAGUACGGUAGAGGGGGAUGGAAUUCCGCGUGUAGCAGUGAAAUGCGUAGAUAUGCGGAGGAACACCAAUGGCGAAGGCAAUCCCCUGGACCUGUACUGACGCUCAUGCACGAAAGCGUGGGGAGCAAACAGGAUUAGAUACCCCUGUAGUCCCUGUCUCUUAUAC